This 465-nucleotide ribosomal RNA is filed under the name uncultured bacterium. RNAcentral describes it as "partial 16S ribosomal RNA". It matches the Rfam family "Bacterial small subunit ribosomal RNA", at positions 28 to 507 of the family's 1533-position model. The record is from RNAcentral.
GACGAACGCUGGCGGCGUGCUUAACACAUGCAAGUCGAACGGAAAGGCCCUGCUUGCAGGGUACUCGAGUGGCGAACGGGUGAGUAACACGUGGGUGAUCUGCCCUGCACUUCGGGAUAAGCCUGGGAAACUGGGUCUAAUACCGGAUAGGAGCCAUUUUUAGUGUGAUGGUUGGAAAGUUUUUUCGGUGUAGGAUGAGCUCGCGGCCUAUCAGCUUGUUGGUGGGGUAAUGGCCUACCAAGGCGGCGACGGGUAGCCGGCCUGAGAGGGUGGACGGCCACAUUGGGACUGAGAUACGGCCCAGACUCCUACGGGAGGCAGCAGUGGGGAAUAUUGCACAAGGGGCGCAAGCCUGAUGCAGCGACGCCGCGUGGGGGAUGACGGCCUUCGGGUUGUAAACUCCUUUCGCUAGGGACGAAGCUUUUUGUGACGGUACCUAGAGAAGAAGCACCGGCUAACUACGUG